Molecule: unclassified non-coding RNA, 2322 nt
Filed under: Hevea brasiliensis (rubber tree)
Lineage: Eukaryota; Viridiplantae; Streptophyta; Magnoliopsida; Malpighiales; Euphorbiaceae
Source: RNAcentral
GGCCACCCCAAUCUUAAUUUCUUAUGGAGUGGGAAUGAGGAGUGCAAUUCCAUCCUAACCUGCCCAUUGGCAUUCCUGAUGUAGGUUAAUCACACCAGAUUAUACCAGCUUCAAAUUUUCUCGCUGUUGUUUGAUGAUAGGUGCAAAUAAACAACGUCAAGCCAGAGGCAGUCACGAAGCACUUGCCAAGCAAGGUAAUGAUUUAGCUUAGUAAAAGUUAAAAGAGUCGUAGGUAACUAUCACACAUUCCCAACCAGCAACGGACCUCUGAAAAAUGGUGAUCAAUGUCUAUGUUAACGUUCUUGAGGGGCACUUGUUCUUGAUUCUUACGGCUGCUCUAGACGAUACACUCCCUAUCACAUGUUAGUACUGAAUGAACAGAAGUAGUUAACCCUAAAGACUACACAGGCGAACGAAGCAACACCUCCUUCAUGGCAAAGAAAUGUAUCGUCCUAGCCAUGUAAAGCAUGAAACAAUGAUAGCUAUUCUGAAUAUUGAAGUCUUAAGUUAAAGAUAACGAACAGUCUUAUUUUAACAUGGCUUCUGGUUUCAUAUGAAUGUACAGUGCAACUAUAUAUUUCUUGAAACAAGUGGCUAAACUCUAAAUUCAGUGAUCAAGGAAUGAUAAAUAAAGAAAAAGAUUGAUCACUCAAAUAGUACUGUGCUUCCAUUUCAAACUGAUAAGAAUCGAAAGAAGCAAGGAAGAUCACGAUAGUUCUCAUAAAUGAUCUCCACUAUGAAUACUCUGAGCGAAUUUCCCACAUUCCAGUCCCAUAUCCAAAGACCAUGAUUGCAACCUCCCACAUCGCCUGGGGAAUGCUUAAUAGAUUCACCUUGGAUCCAGGCAUUUCAGACCAGUCUACAGAAAUUUCAAGCACGGGGAUAUUGAAAUGUUUGCAUAGAAAAACAACCUCGAGAUCAAAGCACCAUCUGCACAAAAGUUCAAUUUCUUCAAACAUCAGUCCACAUAAUAAAUUCAACGCAAAUUAACCAGUAGAUACAGCAUGGAACAUCAAAGAUAGAAGAAGUUAUUGCCAGACUUAACCAGAAACCUAAGUCCCUUUUACUUUCAACUAAGAGACUAAUGUAAGUUGGCCAGCAGUUGCUUUUUAAAUCUGUCUAAGGGCAUACUUAGAAUUCAAUCACAUUAAAAAAUUGAUCUGAGUCUCUUUCUGUAUGUGUUCAAUCAAUCGAUAAAUUCCCACCAAGACACAAACUAAUUGUUGAUGCACAGAUUUAAUUUGAAGAACUUUUCCAAAGAUUUGGGUCAAAGAAAAAUUAUUCAAGUUAGAAAAGACCGUUGUUUUGUUUAUAAUUAUACUAUAGAAGGCAAGGACAGUUCAAUGCCCAACCAUAAAAGGAAAAAAUAUAUAUAUAUGAAGAGCAAAGCAAAUCCAAAGUGAGGUUAUAAAUAUUUUGAAGGAACCAAGCACUCAAGAAUUUGAUCUUGAACAACUGUUGAACACCGAGUGCAAAAAGCGCAACCCCAAUAUUAUGAUUAAUGGAGCGAUUCCUUCUCCUGUAUGCGUCUGUUUUUGUAUGUUUUUAUUAUCACAUUGUAUGUAGUGUUUACAUAUUCUUGAAUUGUACUCCCUCCUCAACAUGACAGAUACAUUUUGCAUUCUGAGCAAUAAAAGUACUGGCAUGGCACAGAGGGCACUAAAUCAGGGGUGAAGGAGGAAUCACCAAGCAAUAUAUUUUUUACCUUUCUGGUUAACCUCCUUUGAAUCAAAUUUUAAAAAUUGAGGAUAUAAAAGAUAUAAGAGAAACAUGUUGAAAGAAGCAAUGAUUACCCUUUCAGCCGGAUGUUUGUGAAAAGUUUCCUUGCUGCAGCCCUGGUGAACAUCUUAAAGCCACACUGUAAUUCACGAAAAGAACACAUUCAUGUAUUUUCAGUGUAUUUAUCUGAACAAAAGUUGCAAGGGAGUUGGGUAUCUGUGAUAUUGUCGAAAUAAAGACCAUGUGCAUCAUAAAUAUUCCAGAAAAUUACCUGUGUAUCACGAAUUUCAGGACCAGCAACUAAGAAAACAACAGGAUCAAAGCUCUUCUUUAGAAAAUAGCGAUACCAUUUUCUCUGAAAUGCAAAGCAUAUUGGAUCAACCAUGAGAAAUAUAAAAUAAAGUCGACAAGCUAAACGAGGACAAAAACAGAAACUAGUGAAGCAUAAGCAAAGCAUAAGCAAGACUGAACUGUUUCCAAAGGUUUCUCCUCAAGAUGAGCACGAGAACCAAAUGCAGCAACUGGGAAAUCAGAUAUUCUAAAAUUUGAAUCUGUCGCUGUAGCAUUUCCCAAAUUAAUCUCCUUUUUGGCAAAAGCAUGAAU